Molecule: ribosomal RNA, 1758 nt
Filed under: Triticum aestivum (bread wheat)
Lineage: Eukaryota; Viridiplantae; Streptophyta; Magnoliopsida; Poales; Poaceae
Description: partial small subunit ribosomal RNA
Source: RNAcentral
AUGGCCUGCUGCUCGGCCUGCAGAUUCGCGUCGCCGGCGUCCCCCACAUCCUCCUCCUCCUCCGGCUCCUCCUCCCCCUCAUCCUCCUCCUCCUCGUCCUCCUCCACCACCUUCUCCAACUCCUCCUCUGGAACCACUGCAUCCGGAGGUAGCCCCGCGGCGAUCCGGGCUUCGCGCCUAGCCCAGAUCUGCUCAAGGAGCUCGAGCCAGCCCUCCAGCGUUAGAAAUGGCUCGCUCUGGAGGAGGAAAAAAUGGAUGGAUGGUAGGGUUUCGGUGACGCCGGUCGACUUAAAUAGCCGGGCUAUCCACUAUGCGGGCUGCCGGAGCUGCACCAUGCGGCGCCACUGGUCUGACGAAGGAGACGAGCUUCAGACCGUCGGGUUUCAGGGCGUUUCCGCCUGGGACCCCUUCGCCAGUCCGAUGAUGCUUAGGGCUCGAGAGCAAGAGCGACGACCGCUGAUUCGAAAGCUUGGACGCAGAUCUGUAAGUGAAUCAUGGGCUGAUGGCUGCGUUGUGCUGAUCUCCUCCGUCGCCGUCGCUGAGCUCUGUUUGGUCGAGAGGGAGAAAGGGUGGUGUUCGUCCGCUUCCGGCGCCCACCACCUGCUUGACGGAAUGCCUCACACAAGCAGGGCGGAGAAGUCCUCAAAGUCCUGCAACGAGGACCGGAUCAGCGCCCUGCCGGACGACGCCCUGCCGGAUGAGGCAGUGCACACCAGCCUGCUUGCCAAGCGCUGGCGCUACCUUUGGAAAUCCAUGCGCCGUCUUCGCAUCAACGAAAUGGGGAGGUUCCUACAUAGCUCCGCCGCUGCCGGCGGCGUUUUCCUUACUAAGUUUGUGAGCUGCCUGCUGCUCCUCCGAGACCCUGACUCAACUCUGGAUGAGGUCGAGAUCAAGUAUGAUCAUCAUUUUGAAGACGACCUUACUUGGAUAUCAACAUGGAUCCAUCAUGCUUUGUCAUGCCAAACUCAGGUCCUCACUGUCAAGUUCCCUUUGCCGGUGUACGUGCCCCGCUAUUUGGAUGGCCCUCCUCUGGUCUCCCGGUAUUUAAGAAGAUUAGAGAUUUCUAAAGGGAGGUUGAAGAGCAACUUCCUAAAUUUUUCAAGCUGUUCAACACUGGAGGAUCUAAAGAUAAAAGACUGUGACUUAGAUGCUAGUAGCAUCCUGUCCCAGUCUGUAAAGCAUCUGAGCAUCAAGGAUUGUUUUUUCAAGGAUGAUGUCCGGAUUAAUAUUUCUGUUCCAAAUCUUGUUUUGCUGCAACUCAAAUCAUGUGGAGGUAGAACCCCAUUUCUCGAAAGCAUGUUGUCAUUAGAAACCGCAGUUGUCAGUUCUGAAAUCUGGUCAGUGGAUUACUGUCAUAAAGGUUUUUUUGCUGGGGAGUGUUGUGGUACUUGUCUGGAUUGCUGUGGUAAUGAUGGCCUCAAGGGUGGUUGCGUACUUCUUGGAGGUCUGUCUCGUGCUAAAAACUUGGAGUUGAUAGCUCAUCCGGGAAUGUUUAUUUUCAAAAGGGAUUUGAGAUGGUGCCCUACAUUUAGUAAGUUAAAGACAUUGUUGCUGAACGAGUGGUGUGUGCAACCUGACCUCCGUGCACUAGUUUGUAUGCUUGAACAUUCGCCGGUUCUUGAGAAUCUGACACUUCAAUUGCAUAAGGAUUCGGUUUCAAGAGUUGGCAGGAGCUUUUGGGCCACCGAUGGAUGUACCAGCCAACCAUUGAGUUUCCAGAGGCGGCGAGGCGAGGAACUUUGGGCUGUCGAUGCAUGA